This 453-nucleotide long non-coding RNA is filed under the name Homo sapiens (human). RNAcentral's name for it is "HSALNT0236574". The record is from RNAcentral. Lineage: Eukaryota; Metazoa; Chordata; Mammalia; Primates; Hominidae.
CGAUACGUCUCCUCCUCUCAGAGGCUCCGAGGAAGGGCGUGGGCGCUGGAGGGAGCAGGGCUCAGCCGGGUGCCCCUCCCGCCAGGCCCCACCGGGGCUGAGCCUCUUCUGUCGCCCGCUUCAGGUUCUGCAGCUGGAUCUCCGUGUAGGGCCCCGGAGCCGGGGACGAGGUCAGGUUCCCUUGUUACCGCUGGGUGGAGGUCGACGGCGUCCUGAGCCUGCCUGAAGGCACCAGUAAGCGCGGGGCUGGGGGUGUCAGGAGGCCUCUGGGGUGCGAGAGAAGCUGGGGGGAUGCGCGUGUGGAGAAGAGGGCGCAGGAUGGGGGUGCUGGAACCUGGAGCGCAGGGCUCUUUGGGAGUGUCGAAGGGGCUGUGGCUGCAGCUGGCACAAAGUGGCUGGAGCCUGGGGGAGGGGCGUGAUGCUGAAGAGGCAGGGGUCACACAGAAGGACGGA